This is a long non-coding RNA of Portunus trituberculatus (swimming crab), 896 nucleotides long. RefSeq lists it as uncharacterized. The record is from RefSeq and is a predicted model, not a curated record. NCBI's taxonomy places the organism in Eukaryota, Metazoa, Arthropoda, Malacostraca, Decapoda, Portunidae. The transcript has 2 exons.
GAGCAAAAUGUCUCAAAACUGUGGACAUUUUGAAUCAAGUUUAAAAUAUCGUGUGUCCAAUUUUCGAAGGUUGGUCAAAAAAGAGACAUUUGUUUGUGAUUUAAGUAACAUUGCCAUCAAUCUCUUCAAUGUGGCAUAUGGCAAGGUACCCUGUGUAAUGUGCAAAUGACUUGAACCUCCAAAUCCACUCAAGAAUAUAGACAUUAGUUCAUGAAUAGGGUUAGAUUAACUUUAUAUUGCAACUUUGAAAGAAUUGAAUUGAAAAAAAAAAACAUCAAAAUGUCUUUCCUCCUUGUCACUUUAUAGAAUGCCACUAAGUAUCGUCUUUCUUAGGCCUAUGUGAGCGAGAAGGACGUGUAUUAUUCUGCCAUCUGGUGAUAUAUGAAAACUGCCCAUUCUACACACACACGCACACAGACACACACACACACACACACACACAGGCCCCCACCCACCUCUCCGCCAUUUAUUGUAACGUACAAACAAGACUAAACGUGUUACCAAUGCCAAUGUAAACAAACCCACGUGACUAGUUAAUGUAAACAAACCCACGUGACUACUUAAUGUAAACAAACCCACGUGACUAGAUAAUGUAAACAAACAUACCACGUGACUUUUUCGAUGUAAACAAAACGUCACGUGACCGAAAGUACAGGGAAGAACAUUGUAAACAGCCGCCAUCUUUGAAAAAAAAAAAAAAAACACGAAUAAGGCAAACAAACACACACAAACACGUGGAUGUAUAGCCAGUUUGCGUGUAAACAAACACAAACAAACGCAGCAAACACAAGAGAUUUGGUGGACACGUUUUGUCUCGAGAUUAGGAGUUAAAACACACACACACACACACACACACACACACACACACACACACACACACACACACACUAGAUAAA